RNAcentral lists this ribosomal RNA (253 nucleotides) under uncultured bacterium. Its description in RNAcentral is "partial 16S ribosomal RNA". It matches the Rfam family "Bacterial small subunit ribosomal RNA", at positions 524 to 776 of the family's 1533-position model. The record is from RNAcentral.
GACGAGUCUCACGAACGUUAUUCGGAAUUACUGGGCGUAAAGGGCUCGUAGGUGGCCAACUAAGUCAGACGUGAAAUCCCUCGGCUUAACCGGGGAACUGCGUCUGAUACUGGAUGGCUUGAGGUUGGGAGAGGGAUGCGGAAUUCCAGGUGUAGCGGUGAAAUGCGUAGAUAUCUGGAGGAACACCGGUGGCGAAGGCGGCAUCCUGGACCAAUUCUGACACUGAGGAGCGAAAGCCAGGGGAGCAAACGGG